AUUUGUUUAACUAUGGCAAUAGAAAGUUAUUUGGCUUAGUUGCAUAAAAUAAUUUUAUAAUUUUGUAGUUUUGUUUAGGCUAUGAGUUAUUAGCAAUUAGUUUUUUAUUAGAAUUUGUGUUUUUUAAGAAUGCUUAUAUAAAGGGGAUAGGACACAGUGCCAGCAUCCGCGGUUAGACUGUUUUCUUUGCUUUCUUAUAGAUUUUGUUUGUGUAUUUAUAAUUUAAGUUAGGUGAAAUUUUUUUAAUUUUAUAUUUUAUACACAUUUAUUUUUAAAUAUUAUAUGUGACAGGGAUUAGAUACCCCCUUAAUAUUAUAUUAUAUUUUAUCUUAGUUUUAUAACUAAAAUAGUUUGGCAGCGAGCGAAUCCGUUCAGGGGAAGGUGUGUUAUAAAGGACGAUCCGCCUAUUAAUUUACUUAUUUUAUGUUGGUGUAUAUCUGGUUUGAUAUUAUUGCUUUAAUAGCCUAAUUUGUGUAUAUUGAUUAUUUAAGCCAAGUCUAUGUGCUGCUUAUUUAAGUUUUCAUGCGUUACAUUUAUAAAUUUAAAUUUGUUAUAGUUUAAUAUUUAGGACUUGAUAGUAGUGUAGAUUUAUUGUGUCUAUGCGAAGCAGGUUUAGCUCGGGUACACACCGCCCGUCACCCUCGAUAAUCAUUGAGGUAAGUCGUAACAAGGUAACUUUAAAUGAAUUUGAAGUUAAUUACUAAGUUUA
RNAcentral lists this ribosomal RNA (709 nucleotides) under Hymenolepis diminuta. Its description in RNAcentral is "small subunit ribosomal RNA". The record is from RNAcentral. Lineage: Eukaryota; Metazoa; Platyhelminthes; Cestoda; Cyclophyllidea; Hymenolepididae.